RNAcentral lists this ribosomal RNA (468 nucleotides) under uncultured bacterium. RNAcentral's name for it is "partial 16S ribosomal RNA". It matches the Rfam family "Bacterial small subunit ribosomal RNA", at positions 28 to 507 of the family's 1533-position model. The record is from RNAcentral.
GACGAACGCUGGCGGCGUGCUUAACACAUGCAAGUCGAACGGAAAGGCCCUGCGAGUGUGGGGUGAUCGAGUGGCGAACGGGUGAGUAACAGGAGAGUAACCGGACCUAGACUUUGGGAUAACUUAAGGAAACUGGGGCUAAUACCGGAUAGGAGAUGCUGCAGGAGGGAGGGGGGGGGAAAGUUUCGGCGGGCGGGGAUGGACUAGCGGCUGAUCAGCUUGUUGGUGGGGGAGGGGCUUACCAAGGCUUUGACCGGUAGCCGGCCUGAGAGGGUGACCGGCCACAUUGGGCCUGCGAUACGGCCCAGACUCCUACGUUAGGCAGCAGUGGGGAAUAUUGCCCAAUGGGCGCAAGCCUGAUGCAGCAACGCCGCGUUCGGGAUGACGGCCUUCGGGUUGUAAACCGCUUUCGCCUGUGACGAAGCGUUUGUGACGGUAAUGGGUAAAGAAGCACCGGCUAACUACGUG